UUAGGGUGCAACCCUAUGAGGGGAGGUGAAAUCAAAUUUAUCGUGAGUUUACCGGCAUCUACAUAACCCUUUGUGAACAUACCUAACCGUUGCUUCGGCGGGCAGGGGGAAGCCUCUCGUGGGCGGACCCUCCCGGCGCCGGCCCCGUCACGGGGGCGGAGCGCCCGCCGGAGGAAACCAAACUCUAUUUACACGACGUCUCUUCUGAGUGGCACAAGCAAAUAAUUAAAACUUUUAACAACGGAUCUCUUGGUUCUGGCAUCGAUGAAGAACGCAGCGAAAUGCGAUAAGUAAUGUGAAUUGCAGAAUUCAGUGAAUCAUCGAAUCUUUGAACGCACAUUGCGCUCGCCAGCAUUCUGGCGAGCAUGCCUGUUUCGAGCGUCAUUUCAACCCUCAAGCACCGCUUGGUUUUGGGGCCCCACGGCCGACGUGGGCCCUUAAAGGUAGUGGCGGACCCUCCCGGAGCCUCCUUUGCGUAGUAACUAACGUCUCGCACUGGGAUCCGGAGGGACUCUUGCCGUUAAACCCCCAAAUUUUUUCAGGUUGACCUCGGAUCAGUAGGACUACCCGCUGAACUUAAGCAUAUCAAUAAGCGGA
RNAcentral lists this ribosomal RNA (597 nucleotides) under Colletotrichum acutatum. RNAcentral describes it as "eukaryotic LSU rRNA". The stretch from base 230 to 384 matches the Rfam family "5.8S ribosomal RNA". The record is from RNAcentral. Lineage: Eukaryota; Fungi; Ascomycota; Sordariomycetes; Glomerellales; Glomerellaceae.